This is a long non-coding RNA of Pseudophryne corroboree (corroboree frog), 1100 nucleotides long. RefSeq lists it as uncharacterized. Lineage: Eukaryota; Metazoa; Chordata; Amphibia; Anura; Myobatrachidae. The record is from RefSeq and is a predicted model, not a curated record. The transcript has 3 exons.
CCAGGGACAAGUGGGCCCGAUUCCCCCCCACCCCUCAGAACUUUCCCUGCAUAGCAACGAGGAGUGGGAGCCGACCCAGGAGGAGGAUACGACCGACCAGGCAUGCAGUGACCUGCCGCGGUCGUCAAGGGACCAAAUGGAGAAGUCGAAAAAGAGAGCCUAGAAAGGCAAGAAGCCAGCCAGAGGAGCAGUCGGAGGAGGAAGCCUCUGGUGAAGAUGCAGGACCGAAAAAGCCGCGUGGACCCAGAUACACUGAGGCGGAAAACUGUGCGUCGACAGGUCCUACGAAGUUCUGUAUGGACAAAGGGCACAGACCACAGCAGCUAAGACCAAGCGAAACAUCUGGGAUGCCAUCGCGACACAAGUCACUGCAGUAUCUGGAAACCGCCGGAGCACCAGAAACUGCAUGAAGUGGUACAGUGAUUGCCGCAGACAGACCACAAAGAAGAUGGGGAUUCAGCGCCGACAUGAGACAGCUACGGGAGGUUUUCCGGCUCUCAAUCUGAAGUGGCUACCCUGGGAGGAAGUUAUUAAAAGGCGCAUGAACCGGAGGUGUGGACUCCAGCCGUCCUGCUGGCUUUCCCGAAGAAGAAGAACCGCCCAGAAGGCGGGAGACAAGCAGUCCAAAAGGAGGCCUGAUGAGGACAUCGCCAGCGCGCGGACCAUUACCUGCGCAGCAGGCAUCGGCAGCAGCACGCGGAACAUCACCUGCGCAGCAAGCAUCAGGAGUGCGCAGAUCAUCACCUGCGCGCCACACAUCGUCAUCGCGCAGCAAGUCACCUGCGCGCCAGACGACGUCAGCGCGCAGACCAUCACCUGCGCGCCAGACAUCAGCGCACAGAACGUCACCUGUGCGCCAGACACCGUCGGCGACCACACCACCAGAUGGGCGCCAAACUACAGCUCCUGCGUGCAGUCCAUCACCAGAUCGUCAUCUCUCCAGGAGCUCUGGGACUGACCGAAGAGCCUCAACAAGACUCUACCCUUGUGGACCCAUCACCCGAACUGUUUGAGUCUACAGGGUUAACGGAUGAAACUUUUCUUGGGUUUGAAGACAGCCGUGCAGAAGUAUCCAGCCAGACCCUUGAAAAGUCUCCAGA